GACGAACGCUGGCGGCGUGCUUAACACAUGCAAGUCGAACGGAAAGGCCCUGCUUUUGUGGGGUGCUCGAGUGGCGAACGGGUGAGUAACACGUGAGUAACCUGCCCUUGACUUUGGGAUAACUUCAGGAAACUGGGGCUAUACCGGAUAGGAGCUCCUGCCGCAUGGUGGGGGGUGGAAAGUUUCGGCGGUUGGGGAUGGACUCGCGGCUUAUCAGCUUGUUGGUGGGGUAGUGGCUUACCAAGGCUUUGACGGGUAGCCGGCCUGAGAGGGUGACCGGCCACAUUGGGACUGAGAUACGGCCCAGACUCCUACGGGAGGCAGCAGUGGGGAAUAUUGCACAAUGGGCGGAAGCCUGAUGCAGCAACGCCGCGUGCGGGAUGACGGCCUUCGGGUUGUAAACCGCUUUCGCCUGUGACGAAGCGUGAGUGACGGUAAUGGGUAAAGAAGCACCGGCUAACUACGUG
RNAcentral lists this ribosomal RNA (467 nucleotides) under uncultured bacterium. RNAcentral's name for it is "partial 16S ribosomal RNA". It matches the Rfam family "Bacterial small subunit ribosomal RNA", at positions 28 to 507 of the family's 1533-position model. The record is from RNAcentral.